This 497-nucleotide ribosomal RNA is filed under the name uncultured bacterium. RNAcentral describes it as "partial 16S ribosomal RNA". It matches the Rfam family "Bacterial small subunit ribosomal RNA", at positions 28 to 507 of the family's 1533-position model. The record is from RNAcentral.
GAUGAACGCUGGCGGCGUGCCUAAUACAUGCAAGUCGAGCGAACAGACGAGGAGCUUGCUCCUCUGACGUUAGCGGCGGACGGGUGAGUAACACGUGGAUAACCUACCUAUAAGACUGGGAUAACUUCGGGAAACCGGAGCUAAUACCGGAUAAUAUAUUGAGCCGCAUGGUUCAACAGUGAAAGACGGUUUUGCUGUCACUUAUAGAUGGAUCCGCGCCGCAUUAGCUAGUUGGUAAGGUAACGGCUUACCAAGGCAACGAUGCGUAGCCGACCUGAGAGGGUGAUCGGCCACACUGGAACUGAGACACGGACCAGACUCCUACGGGAGGCAGCAGUAGGGAAUCUUCCGCAAUGGGCGAAAGCCUGACGGAGCAACGCCGCGUGAGUGAUGAAGGUCUUCGGAUCGUAAAACUCUGUUAUUAGGGAAGAACAAAUGUGUAAGUAACUAUGCACGUCUUGACGGUACCUAAUCAGAAAGCCACGGCUAACUACGUG